UAAGACCUCUACCUACUAGUAGUGUACAGGAAGAACCAGACACCUCAAGGAGAUGUUUUCCAUAAACCUUAACAUAAAGCCUACUUCCAGUCCCAUCAUGCCCCAGGGACAGUUGAAAGAAAAGAAGCAGCUUUCCCCCCAAUGGACAAGAAUGAUGAAAUCACCAAAACAGGAAGUAAAUAUCCUAUUUUAUAUAAAAUAGAAAACAAGGUAUGAGUUUUCCAAAGUGCUUUUUGAAGGCAUUUGGGGACAAAUAUGAUAAAAUGACAGGAUCCAACAAAUCUCAGCUGAUAAAUUGUGAAACUCUUUAGAUUCAUGGUCAUCUUUUCCUCUUAAGGGAAUCAGGUACUCUUUAAAUUGUGUGAGGAAAAAAAUGUCAAUUGAUCAUUCUUGUGAAUAACCUUUUGGAAGUUCUAGAAUACACAUAAAAAAUAAAGUAGUCUUGAGAUCUGUUACUUCCA
Molecule: long non-coding RNA, 461 nt
Filed under: Monodelphis domestica (gray short-tailed opossum)
Lineage: Eukaryota; Metazoa; Chordata; Mammalia; Didelphimorphia; Didelphidae
Description: lncRNA (ENSMODG00000031621.2)
Source: RNAcentral